RNAcentral lists this unclassified non-coding RNA (392 nucleotides) under soil metagenome. RNAcentral describes it as "partial contains 5.8S ribosomal RNA, internal transcribed spacer 2, and large subunit ribosomal RNA". The stretch from base 1 to 123 matches the Rfam family "5.8S ribosomal RNA", at positions 35 to 154 of the family's 154-position model. The record is from RNAcentral.
GAUGAAGAAACGUAGCGAAAUGCGAUACUUGGUGUGAAUUGCAGAAUCCCGUGAACCAUCGAGUCUUUGAACGCAAGUUGCGCCCGAAGCCAUUAGGCCGAGGGCACGCCUGCCUGGGCGUCACACGUCGUUGCCCCCCCAUCUACUCCUUCGGGAUUGCGGGGGGCGGAUGAUGGCCUCUCGUGCGCCUCGUCGCGCGGUUGGCCUAAAUGCCAAGUCCUCGGCGACGCACGCCACGACAAUCGGUGGUUGCGAAACCUCGGUUGCCUGUCGUGUGCGGUCGUCGCGCAUCGAGGGCUCGAAAAAAUUGCCGGGCUUCGGCUCGACUUUCAACGCGACCCCAGGUCAGGCGGGGUUACCCGCUGAAUUUAAGCAUAUCAAUAAGCGGAGGA